Molecule: ribosomal RNA, 461 nt
Filed under: uncultured bacterium
Lineage: Bacteria
Description: partial 16S ribosomal RNA
Rfam family: Bacterial small subunit ribosomal RNA
Source: RNAcentral
CCUACGGGUGGCAGCAGUGAGGAAUAUUGGUCAAUGGGCUUACGCCUGAACCAGCCAAGUCGCGUGAGGGAAGACUGCCCUAUGGGUUGUAAACCUCUUUUGUCAGGGAGCAAUUGGCGCUACGUGUAGCGUUAUCGAGAGUACCUGAAGAAAAAGCAUCGGCUAACUCCGUGCCAGCAGCCGCGGUAAUACGGAGGAUGCGAGCGUUAUCCGGAUUUAUUGGGUUUAAAGGGUGCGCAGACGGCAAUGCAAGCCAGGAGGGAAAGCCCGGGGCCCAACCCCGGGACUGCUCUUGGAAAUGGAUGGCUGGAGGACAGGAGGGGCAGGGGGAAGUCCUAGGGUAGCGGUGAAAGGGGUAGAUAUGAGGAGGAACACCGGAGGCGAAGGCGGCCUGCUGGACUGUGACUGACGUUGAGGGCCGAAGGCGUGGGGAGCAAACAGGAUUAGAUACCCCAGUAGUC